This 506-nucleotide ribosomal RNA is filed under the name uncultured bacterium. RNAcentral describes it as "partial 16S ribosomal RNA". It matches the Rfam family "Bacterial small subunit ribosomal RNA", at positions 29 to 523 of the family's 1533-position model. The record is from RNAcentral.
AUUGAACGCUGGCGGCAGGCCUAACACAUGCAAGUCGGACGGUAGCACAGAGGAGCUUGCUCCUCGGGUGACGAGUGGCGGACGGGUGAGUAAUGUCUGGGGAUCUGCCCGAUAGAGGGGGAUAACCACUGGAAACGGUGGCUAAUACCGCAUAACGUCGCAAGACCAAAGAGGGGGACCUUCGGGCCUCUCACUAUCGGAUGAACCCAGAUGGGAUUAGCUAGUAGGCGGGGUAACGGCCCACCUAGGCGACGAUCCCUAGCUGGUCUGAGAGGAUGACCAGCCACACUGGAAAUGAGACACGGUCCAGACGCCUACGGGAGGCAGCAGUGGGGAAUAGUGCACAAGGGGCGCAAGCCUGAUGCUGCCAUGCCGCGUGUAUGAAGAAGGCCUUCGGGUUGUAAAGUACUUUCAGCGGGGAGGAAGGCGAUAAGGUUAAUAACCUUGUCGAUUGACGUUACCCGCAGAGGAAGCACCGGCUAACUCCGUGCCAGCCGCCGCAGUAA